AGUGAACGCUGGCGGUAGGCCUAACACAUGCAAGUCGAACGGCAGCACAGUAAGAGCUUGCUCUUACGGGUGGCGAGUGGCGGACGGGUGAGGAAUACAUCGGAAUCUACUUUUUCGUGGGGGAUAACGUAGGGAAACUUACGCUAAUACCGCAUACGACCUACGGGUGAAAGCAGGGGAUCUUCGGACCUUGCGCGAUUGAAUGAGCCGAUGUCGGAUUAGCUAGUUGGCGGGGUAAAGGCCCACCAAGGCGACGAUCCGUAGCUGGUCUGAGAGGAUGAUCAGCCACACUGUAACUGAGACACGGUCCAGACUCCUACGGGAGGCAGCAGUGGGGACUAUUGGACAAUGGGCGCAAGCCUGAUCCAGCCAUACCGCGUGGGUGAAGAAGGCCUUCGGGUUGUAAAGCCCUUUUGUUGGGAAAGAAAAGCAGCAGGUUAAUACCCCGCUGUUCUGACGGUACCCAAAGAAUAAGCACCGGCUAACUUCGUG
RNAcentral lists this ribosomal RNA (492 nucleotides) under uncultured bacterium. RNAcentral's name for it is "partial 16S ribosomal RNA". It matches the Rfam family "Bacterial small subunit ribosomal RNA", at positions 29 to 507 of the family's 1533-position model. The record is from RNAcentral.